RNAcentral lists this ribosomal RNA (1384 nucleotides) under uncultured bacterium. Its description in RNAcentral is "bacterial SSU rRNA". It matches the Rfam family "Bacterial small subunit ribosomal RNA". The record is from RNAcentral.
GAGGUUGAUCAUGGCUCAGGACGAACGCUGGCGGCGUGCUUAACACAUGCAAGUCGAACGAUGAAGCCUAGCUUGCUAGGUGGAUUAGUGGCGAACGGGUGAGUAAUACGUGAGUGACCUACCUUUGACUCUGGGAUAAGCCUGGGAAACUGGGUCUAAUACCGGAUACGACCAAUCUCCGCAUGGGGUGUUGGUGGAAAGCGUUAUGGAGUGGUUUUAGAUGGGCUCACGGCCUAUCAGCUUGUUGGUGAGGUAAUGGCUUACCAAGGCGACGACGGGUAGCCGGCCUGAGAGGGUGACCGGCCACACUGGGACUGAGACACGGCCCAGACUCCUACGGGAGGCAGCAGUGGGGAAUAUUGCACAAUGGGCGCAAGCCUGAUGCAGCGACGCCGCGUGAGGGAUGACGGCCUUCGGGUUGUAAACCUCUGUUAGCAUCGAAGAAGCGAAAGUGACGGUAGGUGCAGAGAAAGCGCCGGCUAACUACGUGCCAGCAGCCGCGGUAAUACGUAGGGCGCGAGCGUUGUCCGGAAUUAUUGGGCGUAAAGAGCUUGUAGGCGGUUGGUCGCGUCUGCUGUGAAAGGCUGGGGCUUAACCCUGGUUUUGCAGUGGGUACGGGCUAACUAGAGUGCAGUAGGGGAGACUGGAAUUCCUGGUGUAGCGGUGGAAUGCGCAGAUAUCAGGAGGAACACCGAUGGCGAAGGCAGGUCUCUGGGCUGUAACUGACGCUGAGAAGCGAAAGCAUGGGGAGCGAACAGGAUUAGAUACCCUGGUAGUCCAUGCCGUAAACGUUGGGCACUAGGUGUGGGGGACAUUCCACGUUUUCCGCGCCGUAGCUAACGCAUUAAGUGCCCCGCCUGGGGAGUACGGCCGCAAGGCUAAAACUCAAAGAAAUUGACGGGGGCCCGCACAAGCGGCGGAGCAUGCGGAUUAAUUCGAUGCAACGCGAAGAACCUUACCAAGGCUUGACAUAUACUGGACUGCGUCAGAGAUGGCGUUUCCCUUCGGGGCUGGUAUACAGGUGGUGCAUGGUUGUCGUCAGCUCGUGUCGUGAGAUGUUGGGCUAAGUCCCGCAACGAGCGCAACCCUUGUCUUAUGUUGCCAGCACAUUUUUGGUGGGGACUCAUGAGAAACUGCCGGGGUCAACUCGGAGGAAGGUGGGGAUGACGUCAAAUCAUCAUGCCCUUUAUACCCAGGGCUUCACACAUGCUACAAUGGUCGGUACAACGGGUUGCGACACUGUGAAGUGAAGCUAAUCUCUCAAAGCCGGCCUCAGUUCGGAUUGGGGUCUGCAACUCGACCCCAUGAAGUCGGAGUCGCUAGUAAUCGCAGAUCAGCAACGCUGCGGUGAAUACGUUCCCGGGCCUUGCACACACCGCCCGUC